CAGGGAUCAAACCUGGCUCUCUUGCACUGCAGGCAGAUUCUUUACCAUCUGAGCCACCAGGAAGGCACCACUGAUUCACAGGCCAGUGAAUUUAUUUAUUUACCAAUUUUGUUUACCAAUAAAUAAAAUUGAAAACCCACUGGCAAUAAGAUGAUGGUGUUUGAUAUCUCCACGGAAGUCAUGAAGGCCAUAAUAAGCCACCAGCCUCACAGGGCUUGGAAACAUUUCCCCUAUCUUGGAGGACUUGGUAAUUUCUCCUGCCUUCAGCUGCAUUGUUUAUCUUACAAGAGGCAUCAUCUACUCCAUGUUCUUUCCUUAGGUUCCACAAAGCCUGACUGCUGUUUUGCGAGAAAAGACGGAAUGGUACCCAUUUCUCUGACCAUAAGCAUCUGCUUCUUUAAUACCCAAUCUGGGACUGAUACCUCUGCCACCAAUAUGCCAUCUCCCCAGCUUCAAAUGCAAUGAGGACACCAAGCUUCUAUGUAUGUAACGAGAUCAACAGCCAACAGGAGAAAAGAGGCUGAGGUGAAAACAGAAAAACAAUAGAGGAAAAAUGAUGCAGAAUUAAAGAGGCAACUGUACAAAAAGAAGAGGGGAAAGACACAGCCGGGAAGAUAGAAUUAAAAUCUUUCACCUCAAAUAGCAUCCUCCUGUUUUCAGGCACUAAGAAGCAUGUCUCAUCUACACAGCUGUCCAAAUGGCCUUGUUUUGCUCUGAGGAUGAGAACAGGCUUGAUUUAGGAGCCAUGUCUUGGAUUUCGUGUUUCUCAAUCUCACGCUCUGCCUGAUAGCUCCGGGUCAAGAUCUCCGGGCCAGAGCGGCAGUUCCCCCGGGCAGUGGACAUUGGGAGAUGGUCUCGGAGAAGAAAGCCCGCCUCCCAUGCUCACACCUCACCUUCCUGACUUGGAAAACACCUCCAGUUAAUGAGCAAACCUGGCGUCUGUCAGCUUUCUGUAAGCAAGCAUUUCACAAGGUUUACAGAAAAGUAAAGUAAACAA
This is a long non-coding RNA of Capra hircus (goat), 997 nucleotides long. RefSeq lists it as uncharacterized. The record is from RefSeq and is a predicted model, not a curated record. The transcript has 3 exons. NCBI's taxonomy places the organism in Eukaryota, Metazoa, Chordata, Mammalia, Artiodactyla, Bovidae.